GACGGAGGAUGCAAGUGUUAUCCGGAAUCACUGGGCGUAAAGCGUCUGUAGGUGGUCAAAUAAGUCAACUGUUAAAUCUUGAGGCUCAACCUCAAAAUCGCAGUCGAAACUAUUAGACUAGAGUAUAGUAGGGGUAAAGGGAAUUUCCAGUGGAGCAGUGAAAUGCGCAGAGAUUGGAAAGAACACCGAUGGCGAAGGCACUUUACUGGGCUAUUACUAACACUCAGAGACGAAAGCUAGGGUAGCAAAUGGG
Molecule: ribosomal RNA, 253 nt
Filed under: uncultured bacterium
Lineage: Bacteria
Description: partial 16S ribosomal RNA
Rfam family: Bacterial small subunit ribosomal RNA
Source: RNAcentral